RNAcentral lists this ribosomal RNA (564 nucleotides) under uncultured Glomeromycotina. RNAcentral describes it as "SSU rRNA". It matches the Rfam family "Eukaryotic small subunit ribosomal RNA", at positions 548 to 1114 of the family's 1831-position model. The record is from RNAcentral. Lineage: Eukaryota; Fungi; Glomeromycota.
UUGGAGGGCAAGUCUGGUGCCAGCAGCCGCGGUAAUUCCAGCUCCAAUAGCGUAUAUUAAAGUUGUUGCAGUUAAAAAGCUCGUAGUUGAAUUUCGGGAUCAGAGUGUCGGUCGUGCCUCGGUACGCACUGGUAUUAUUGGCUCCUACCUUCUGAAGAACCUCGAUGUCAUUAAUUUGGUGUCGUGGGGAAUCAGGACUGUUACUUUGAAAAAAUUAGAGUGUUUAAAGCAGGCUUACGCUUGAAUACAUUAGCGUGGAAUAAUGAAAUAGGACGUUUGAUUCUAUUUUGUUGGUUUCUAGGAUUGACGUAAUGAUUAAUAGGGAUAGUUGGGGGCAUUAGUAUUCAAUUGUCUGAGGUGAAAUUCUUGGAUUUAUUGAAGACUAACUGCUGCGAAAGCAUUUGCCAAGGAUGUUUUCAUUAAUCAAGAACGAAAGUUAGGGGAUCGAAGACGAUCAGAUACCGUCGUAGUCUUAACCAUAAACUAUGCCGACUAGGGAUCGGAUGAUGUUAAUUUUUUAAUGACUCAUUCGGCGCCUUACGGGAAACCAAAGUGUUUGGGUUC